Molecule: ribosomal RNA, 468 nt
Filed under: uncultured bacterium
Lineage: Bacteria
Description: partial 16S ribosomal RNA
Rfam family: Bacterial small subunit ribosomal RNA
Source: RNAcentral
GACGAACGCUGGCGGCGUGCUUAACACAUGCAAGUCGAACGGAAAGGCCCUGCUUUUGUGGGGUGCUCGAGUGGCGAACGGGUGAGUAACACGUGAGUAACCUGCCCUUGACUUUGGGAUAACUUCAGGAAACUGGGGCUAAUACCGGAUAGGAGCUCCUGCUGCAUGGUGGGGGUUGGAAAGUUUCGGCGGUUGGGGAUGGACUCGCGGCUUAUCAGCUUGUUGGUGGGGUAGUGGCUUACCAAGGCUUUGACGGGUAGCCGGCCUGAGAGGGUGACCGGCCACAUGGGGACUGAGAGACGGACCAGACGCCUACGGGAGGCAGCAGUGGGGAAUAUUGCACAAUGGGCGGAAGCCUGAUGCAGCAACGCCGCGUGCGGGAUGACGGCCUUCGGGUUGUAAACCGCUUUCGCCUGUGACGAAGAGUGAGUGACGGUAAUGGGUAAAGAAGCACCGGCUAACUACGUG